AUUGAACGCUGGCGGCAUGCUUUACACAUGCAAGUCGAACGGUAACAGGGAGCUUGCUCCGCUGACGAGUGGCGAACGGGUGAGUAAUGCAUCGGAACAUGCCCAGUCAUGGGGGAUAACUACGCGAAAGCGUAGCUAAUACCGCAUACGCCCUGAGGGGGAAAGUGGGGGGGUCUUAGGACCUCACGUGAUUGGAGUGGCCGAUGUCAGAUUAGCUAGUUGGUGAGGUAAAGGCUCACCAAGGCGACGAUCUGUAGCGGGUCUGAGAGGAUGAUCCGCCACACUGGGACUGAGACACGGCCCAGACUCCUACGGGAGGCAGCAGUGGGGAAUUUUGGACAAUGGGGGCAACCCUGAUCCAGCCAUGCCGCGUGAAUGAAGAAGGCCUUAGGGUUGUAAAAUUCUUUCAGAUGCGAAGAUAAUGACGGUACCAUCAGAAGAAGCUCCGGCUAAAUUCGUGCCAGCAGCCGCGGUAAAGUGACU
Molecule: ribosomal RNA, 483 nt
Filed under: uncultured bacterium
Lineage: Bacteria
Description: bacterial SSU rRNA
Rfam family: Bacterial small subunit ribosomal RNA
Source: RNAcentral